This 71-nucleotide transfer RNA is filed under the name Nocardioides sp. RNAcentral's name for it is "tRNA-Met". Lineage: Bacteria; Bacillati; Actinomycetota; Actinomycetes; Propionibacteriales; Nocardioidaceae. The record is from RNAcentral.
CGCGGGUGUCGGGAGACGCCUCGGGCCUCAUAAGCCCGGUGGUCCCGGUUCGACUCCGGGCCCCGCAACCA